GAUGAACGCUGGCGGCGUGCUUAACACAUGCAAGUCGAACGGAAAGGCUCCUGCUUGCAGGGGUACUCGAGUGGCGAACGGGUGAGUAACACGUGGGUGAUCUACCCUGCACUUCGGGAUAAGCCUGGGAAACUGGGUCUAAUACCGGAUAGGACGAUGGUUUGGAUGCCAUUGUGGAAAGUUUUUUCGGUGUGGGAUGAGCUCGCGGCCUAUCAGCUUGUUGGUGGGGUAAUGGCCUACCAAGGCGUCGACGGGUAGCCGGCCUGAGAGGGUGUACGGCCACAUUGGGACUGAGAUACGGCCCAGACUCCUACGGGAGGCAGCAGUGGGGAAUAUUGCACAAUGGGCGCAAGCCUGAUGCAGCGACGCCGCGUGGGGGAUGACGGCCUUCGGGUUGUAAACUCCUUUCGCUAGGGACGAAGCGCAAGUGACGGUACCUGGAGAAGAAGCACCGGCUAACUACGUG
This 466-nucleotide ribosomal RNA is filed under the name uncultured bacterium. RNAcentral's name for it is "partial 16S ribosomal RNA". It matches the Rfam family "Bacterial small subunit ribosomal RNA", at positions 28 to 507 of the family's 1533-position model. The record is from RNAcentral.